CCUACGGGAGGCAGCAGUGGGGAAUAUUGGGCAAUGGAGGCAACUCUGACCCAGCAACGCCGCGUGAAUGAUGAAGGUCUUCGGAUGGUAAAGUUCUGUGAUGGGGGAUGAACACAAUGACGGUACCCCAAUAGCAAGCCACGGCUAACUACGUGCCAGAAGCCGCGGUAAUACGUAGGUGGCAAGCGUUAUCCGGAAUGACUGGGCGUAAAGGGAGCGUAGGUGGUGUAGUAAGUUGGCGGUGUAAUUCCGGGGCUCAACCUCGGCGCUACCGCCAAAACUAUUAGACUAGAGUGCAGGAGGGGUAAGUGGAAUUCCCAGUGGAGCGGUGGAAUGCGGAGAUAUUAGGAGGAACAUCAGGGGCGAAGGCGACUUACUGGACUGUAACUGACACUGAGGCACGAAAGCGUGGGGAGCAAACAGGAUUAAAUACCCUUGUAGUC
Molecule: ribosomal RNA, 443 nt
Filed under: uncultured bacterium
Lineage: Bacteria
Description: partial 16S ribosomal RNA
Rfam family: Bacterial small subunit ribosomal RNA
Source: RNAcentral